RNAcentral lists this ribosomal RNA (556 nucleotides) under uncultured archaeon. RNAcentral describes it as "bacterial SSU rRNA". It matches the Rfam family "Archaeal small subunit ribosomal RNA", at positions 63 to 624 of the family's 1478-position model. The record is from RNAcentral.
UGUAGCAAUACAAGGCAGACGGCUCAGUAACGCGUAGUCAACCUACCCUAUGGACGGGAAUACCCUCGGGAAACUGAGUAUAAUGCCCGAUAGAACACUAUACCUGGAAUGGUUUGUGUUUCAAAUGAUUUAUUGCCGUAGGAUGGGACUGCGGCCUAUCAGUUUGUUGGUGAGGUAAUGGCCCACCAAGACUAUUACAGGUACGGGCUCUGAGAGGAGUGGCCCGGAGAUGGGUACUAAGACACGGACCCAGGCCCUAUGGGGCGCAGCAGGCGAGAAAACUUUGCAAUGUGCGAAAGCACGACAAGGUUAAUCCGAGUGGUUUCUGCUAAAGGAACCUUUUGACAGUCCUAGAAACACUGUUGAAUAAGGGGUGGGCAAGUUCUGGUGUCAGCCGCCGCGGUAAAACCAGCACCUCAAGUGGUCAGGAUGAUUAUUGGGCCUAAAGCAUCCGUAGCCGGCUCAGUAAGUUUUCGGUCAAAUCUGUACGCUCAACGUACAGGCUGCCGGGAAUACUGCAGAGCUAGGGAGUGGGAGAGGUAGACGGUACUCGGGA